GGCAGCACUAAAGUUCCCAUGUACUAAAAUUAGAAUUAUACAGAGAAGAUUAGUAUGUCCUCUGUGCAAAGAUGACAUGCAAAUUCAUGAAACAUUCCAUAUUUUU
Molecule: small nuclear RNA, 106 nt
Organism: Nycticebus coucang (slow loris)
Lineage: Eukaryota; Metazoa; Chordata; Mammalia; Primates; Lorisidae
Source: RefSeq, a predicted model, not a curated record